CCGCUCUCGCCCCGGGUCGGCCGCUGGGGCGCGCGCCUCGCCUAGCACCCCCAUCCCAGACUCUCUGCGCUCCGCCGAGUCUGCGGAUCUGCCGAAGCCGUGAGCCGGACCGCCGAGCGGUUCCGGGUGUAGGGUUCACAGGUCAGAGUUGACUCCUUGAAAAGUGCAGCCGGUUUGAAAUGCAAGAUGGCGGCGGCGGGGCGCUGAGAGGCGCGGCGGCCCCUGCAGGAGAUGGCAGAUAGGUACUUUGGACCUGGUGAUAAUGAUGGCCUGAGCUAAACACCUCCUAAUUUGAAGGGACACCCUUCUGGGUCAAAGAACAGAAUGCUGAGGAAGCUAUGGCAACUUCCCCAAACAUUGGAGGAGAACAAAUUCUUCAAUUCCAGAUGUCUGAUUUACUGUGAAUGGGCCCAGUCUUUGCUGACACUGAAAACGUUUUGGGGCAUACACAAUCUCAAAAAUAGCACCCAAUACCCAAAAGCAACGGAACUCAAUGUUGUGCCAAAGUUAAACUACUGCAGACGGCAGAAGUCCUGCAUUGUACAUAGAACACUAAUUAAAAAACAACUUGUAAAAAUUCAGAUUUUAAUACAGUACAUUUUUAUUCUGAUACGAUGGAGACAUUCUGAUUCUUAGACUUUCUGAGGGGGUUUAAUGACCACUAGAGCUUGUCCUCAUAUUUUGUUCAGCUUAAUACUGUAUGUCUCGUAAGAUGGGCCUUAUCGCCUGUUUUCUUUGAUAUGUGAUUAAGCUUAUAGCUUUGAGUGACCAAACAUUUUACAGACUAAAAAUUGUCAGAAACAGGAAAAAGAGAAAUCUGAUUUAUCUCUAUGUCUCAUUUAUCAGGCCCUGCACUAAGAUUAAGAGUCGUGCAUGGGUUUAUAGAAAAAACAGCCUAUUGACCUGCUGGAGCAAGAAGAUUUUGUGGUAUCAUUGGCGCUUAAAGAUUGCUCUUUCAUUGAACACAUUCAUAGAUACCACUCUUUCUGCUUGUAAUACUCUCUUACUUUUUUUCAUUAGAAACUGAAAAUUAGCUUUUAUUAAACUGAACAUAAUCAGUACUGAAGAAGGGAAAGAAACUGGCAUAAGCAUUUGGAUAGGGUGAAACCCUGAAAUAAAUAUUGUACCAAAAAUGUGAAAAAGAAUCAUAUAGUAAAUAUUAACAUAGUGUUUCCUUACAGUCGUAUGGAAAUCAGAAAUGUUUGUACAGGUGUCAGAUCAGAAUUUCCAAGAAUUCUCUUUUGGUGACGUUCUGCUUGGUAUAACAAUUUCAGUGAAUAAAGGAAAAAAAUUCUGAACUGAUCAUAAUGAGUUAAAACUUAGCUUUUCACUUAUGAAUGAUGGGUGUGUUAACUGUUAACUCUUGCCAUAUCAGGAGACUGAAAGUUCCUACUCAUAAACUUUGUAAAGACCGGUGCUGUUCACUCAUGUUGAGAAGGACCCUUUCUUUUGUGACUAUAGGACCAUUUUUCAAAAUGUGCUUUCUUCAUAGAACAAAUGUUCAGUUUCAUUAGCUUUGAAUUUUAAAAUGUUUUUCUGAAUGACAAGAUGUAGUGGGCUUGGCCAGUUUAUUUUAUCUAAUUUAAUGAAUAAUAAAUAUUAAGCUCUUGUUUUUACCUAAAUGUUUGUCGGCUAAUGAAAAUGUUAUGGAAAAGCCUUGACUAUGCAUGCUGCUUUCAUUUUUAUAAACUUUUUAUUUUUUAACUAUAGCUUUAUUAGUAAUUCCAAAAUGCUGCAAUUUAGCUGGUUUCUUCACUCAGACAGCUGGCUUUGUGGGUGGCUUUUUCAUACUACUGUUAACUUUUUUAAGAGAAGCAAUGUAAAGACUGUAACAAUUUAAUGCACUAAACUGUUCUUUCUUUUACACGUUUAAAAACUUCUUAAAGCACUCUGUAUUAUAAUGAUUAAAUUGCUCCCUUUUUUUAAACCAUUGCUAAUGUGGUCUGAGUUUUGUUUGACAGUAAUUUUAAUGUUUUCAAAAUUUGAAAUGUCAAGUAUUGGAAAUGAAACCUUUGAAUAUAUUUAUAUUAUGUUUCCCUUGCAAUAUGUUAACUUUGUUUAGCUGUAAAUAACUAUUAGUGAUUUUUCCCCUGUCUUUUUUAUAGACUUGGCACUUAAUUCUGCUCUGAUGUUUGCUAGCUUUUAAAUAUUUUUAUUUGACAGAGCAAAGAACCCUCCUCUCCUGGUUGAUUGUGUCCUUGAAUACAAAAUAAAA
Catagonus wagneri (Chacoan peccary) is the source of this 2215-nucleotide long non-coding RNA. The record is from Ensembl. NCBI's taxonomy places the organism in Eukaryota, Metazoa, Chordata, Mammalia, Artiodactyla, Tayassuidae.